This 92-nucleotide small RNA is filed under the name unclassified sequences. Its description in RNAcentral is "GA-cis RNA". It matches the Rfam family "GA-cis RNA". The record is from Rfam by way of RNAcentral.
UUCAGGAGGUUCCCCAAUGAUGCGGAGCAUCAUUUUUUGCAUGGGACCGACGAACUGCCUCCGAAGCUUUAGCUGAGGUGGCGACACCAUAA